RNAcentral lists this small RNA (572 nucleotides) under Pongo abelii (Sumatran orangutan). RNAcentral describes it as "processed transcript". The record is from RNAcentral. Lineage: Eukaryota; Metazoa; Chordata; Mammalia; Primates; Hominidae.
AGUAAAUCUUAGAUUCCCUUGGCCUGUACUGCCUGCCUCUGUUACAAAUGCCUUAGAGUUUGGAGAAGAGAUGGAAAGAUCUAUACAACUCAUCCCUGGGGAUGAGCCCAGGGAGAAGAUGGACUUGGUCACCUACUUUGGAAAGAGACCCCCAGGCGUGCUGCAUUGCACAACCAAGUUUUGUGACUACGGGAAGGCUCCCGGGGCAGAGGAAUACGCUCAACAAGAUGUGUUAAAGAAAUCUUACUCCAAGGCCUUCACACUGACCAUCUCUGCCCUCUUUGUGACACCCAAGACGACUGGGGCCCGGGUGGAGUUAAGCGAGCAGCAACUGCAGUUGUGGCCGAGUGAUGUGGACAAGCUGUCACCCACUGACAACCUGCCGCGGGGGAGCCGCGCCCACAUCACCCUCGGCUGCGCAGCUGACGUAGAGGCCGUGCAGACGGGCCUUGACCUCUUAGAGAUUCUGCGGCAGGAGAAGGGAGGCAGCCGAGGCGAGGAGGUGGGCGAGCUAAGCCGGGGCAAGCUCUAUUCCUUGGGCAAUGGGCGCUGGAUGCUGACCCUGGCCAAGA